Molecule: ribosomal RNA, 254 nt
Filed under: uncultured bacterium
Lineage: Bacteria
Description: partial 16S ribosomal RNA
Rfam family: Bacterial small subunit ribosomal RNA
Source: RNAcentral
UACGUAGGUGGCAAGCGUUAUCCGGAAUUACUGGGCGUAAAGCGUGCGCAGGCGGUUCGUUAAGUCAGAUGUGAAAGCCCCGGGCUCAACCUGGGAACUGCAUUUGAAACUGGCGGGCUUGAGUGUGGCAGAGGGGGGGUGGAAUUCCGCGUGUAGCAGUGAAAUGCGUAGAGAUGCGGCGGAACACCGAUGGCGAAGGCAGCCCCCUGGGCUGAGAUUGACGCUCAGGCACGAAAGCGUGGGGAGCAAACAGG